UAGCUUACCCAAGAGUCUACUGUGUAGCCAAGAAGGUGAACCUGAGGAGUGAAGAUUUCAAGAAACACCAAGGACAUCUCUACCAUUGAGGAGAUUAUCAGCUCUGUCCAGAGACUCAAAGAAAUGAAAAGAGUGACCACCGAUAUAUGAAGAAGGAACUUUGAGCUGAUUUAUUAAGAGUGCCUUUGGUACAGAUGCCUUACCUCUCUUCUGAUCCCAGGUAAAAUAUGAUAUGUAAGUACUGACACAUUUUUAAUGUGUGACCACUGUUCUCUAUACGUUUAGGGCUAACUGUUGGGUGAUUAGAGAAAACUAACAGAGUAUUUCAUAUUCUUAUACAACAUAAAAACUAAACUGUAAUUCAAGGAGUA
This 371-nucleotide long non-coding RNA is filed under the name Felis catus (domestic cat). RNAcentral's name for it is "lncRNA (ENSFCAG00000051055.1)". Lineage: Eukaryota; Metazoa; Chordata; Mammalia; Carnivora; Felidae. The record is from RNAcentral.